CAGUCGCCGCGGUAAAACGAAGGGUGCAGGCGUUAAUCGGAAUUACUGGGCGUAAAGCGUGCGUAGGCGGUUUUGACAGUCAGAUGUGAAAUUCCUGGGCUUAACCUGGGGGCUGCAUUUGAGACGUCAAGACUAGAGUGUGAGAGAGGGUUGUGGAAUUCCCAGUGUAGAGGUGAAAUUCGUAGAUAUUGGGAAGAACACCGGUGGCGAAGGCGGCAACCUGGCUCAUUACUGACGCUGAGGCGCGAAAGCGUGGGGAGCAAACAGGAUUAGAUACCCCCGUAGUCCCUGUCUCUUAUAC
This 301-nucleotide ribosomal RNA is filed under the name uncultured bacterium. RNAcentral describes it as "partial 16S ribosomal RNA". It matches the Rfam family "Bacterial small subunit ribosomal RNA", at positions 509 to 807 of the family's 1533-position model. The record is from RNAcentral.